Molecule: ribosomal RNA, 253 nt
Filed under: uncultured bacterium
Lineage: Bacteria
Description: partial 16S ribosomal RNA
Rfam family: Bacterial small subunit ribosomal RNA
Source: RNAcentral
UACGUAGGGGGCUAGCGUUGUCCGGAAUCAUUGGGCGUAAAGCGCGCGUAGGCGGUCAGGUAAGUCCGGUGUGAAAGUCAAAGGCUCAACCUUUGAAUGCCGCUGGAAACUGCCUGACUUGAGUCCGGUAGGGGCGAGUGGAAUUCCUGGUGUAGCGGUGAAAUGCGCAGAUAUCGGGAAGAACACCCGUGGCGAAGGCGGUUCUCUGGGACGGUACUGACGCUGAGACGCGAAAGCGUGGGGAGCGACCAGG